This 547-nucleotide ribosomal RNA is filed under the name fungal endophyte. RNAcentral describes it as "eukaryotic LSU rRNA". It matches the Rfam family "Eukaryotic large subunit ribosomal RNA", at positions 51 to 600 of the family's 3401-position model. The record is from RNAcentral. Lineage: Eukaryota; Fungi.
CGGAGGAAAAGAAACCAACAGGGAUUGCCUCAGUAACGGCGAGUGAAGCGGCAAAAGCUCAAAUUUGAAAUCUGGCCCCCUCGGGGCCCGAGUUGUAAUUUGCAGAAGAUGCUUCGGGUGUGGCUCCAGUCUAAGUUCUUUGGAAUACUACAUCACAGAGGGUGAGAAUCCCGUAUGUGACUGGCUGCCUCCGCCCGUGUGAAGCUCUUUCGACGAGUCGAGUUGUUUGGGAAUGCAGCUCAAAAUGGGUGGUAUAUUUCAUCUAAAGCUAAAUAUUGGCCAGAGACCGAUAGCGCACAAGUAGAGUGAUCGAAAGAUGAAAAGCACUUUGGAAAGAGAGUUAAACAGUACGUGAAAUUGUUGAAAGGGAAGCGCUUGCAACCAGACUUGCGCGCAGCUGAUCAUCCGGUGUUCUCACCGGGGCACUCUGCUGCGUUCAGGCCAGCAUCGGUUUCGGCGGCCGGACAAAGGCCCUGGGAAUGUGGCUCCCCUCGGGGAGUGUUAUAGCCCAGGGCGCAAUGCGGCCUGCCGGGACCGAGGACCGCGC